CAGUAGACGCUGAAGACUUUAGCUUGCUAAAGUUGGAAGAGUUGCGAACGGGUGAGUAACGCGUAGGUAACCUGCCUACUAGCGGGGGAUAACUAUUGGAAACGAUAGCUAAUACCGCAUAACAGCAUUUAACACAUGUUAGAUGCUUGAAAGGAGCAAUUGCUUCACUAGUAGAUGGACCUGCGUUGUAUUAGCUAGUUGGUGAGGUAACGGCUCACCAAGGCGACGAUACAUAGCCGACCUGAGAGGGUGAUCGGCCACACUGGGACUGAGACACGGCCCAGACUCCUACGGGAGGCAGCAGUAGGGAAUCUUCGGCAAUGGGGGCAACCCUGACCGAGCAACGCCGCGUGAGUGAAGAAGGUUUUCGGAUCGUAAAGCUCUGUUGUAAGAGAAGAACGUGUGUGAGAGUGGAAAGUUCACACAGUGACGGUAACUUACCAGAAAGGGACGGCUAACUACGUGCCAGCAGCCGCGGUAAUACGUAGGUCCCGAGCGUUGUCCGGAUUUAUUGGGCGUAAAGCGAGCGCAGG
This 533-nucleotide ribosomal RNA is filed under the name Streptococcus lutetiensis. RNAcentral's name for it is "bacterial SSU rRNA". It matches the Rfam family "Bacterial small subunit ribosomal RNA", at positions 59 to 575 of the family's 1533-position model. The record is from RNAcentral. Lineage: Bacteria; Bacillati; Bacillota; Bacilli; Lactobacillales; Streptococcaceae.